RNAcentral lists this ribosomal RNA (207 nucleotides) under uncultured bacterium. RNAcentral describes it as "partial 16S ribosomal RNA". It matches the Rfam family "Bacterial small subunit ribosomal RNA", at positions 568 to 774 of the family's 1533-position model. The record is from RNAcentral.
CGCGUAGGCGGAUCGUCGUGUCCGGUGUGAAAGCCCGGGGCUCAACCCCGGAAGUGCAUUGGAAACUGGCGAUCUUGAGUUCGGGAGAGGAGGGCAGAAUUCCUGGUGUAGGGGUGAAAUCCGUAGAUAUCAGGAGGAAAAUCAGUGGCGAAGGCGGCCCUCUGGAACGUAACUGACGCUAAGGCGCGAAAGCGUGGGGAGCAAACA